UGCUGAUGUAGAGAAGUAUUCUAUGGCUUGCUAGCUUACAUAUUUAUGAAGUUGCUAACAUUAACAUUACGUGAAAGGGAAAUUACGUUGUGUAUUUAGCAGUAUUGUGUUGUUACAUAAGUACUCUACUCCGUUAAAUAAAAUUCACAAUUAAGCUCGCUAACGUAAGCUCGAUUGAACUAGUCGAAAUAUUAUAAACACACACACACACAACUUGUUUUAUUCACAACCCGUCAGUCAAGCAAAAUCUGGGCCGUCUCUUUUAUUUUGUUCGUUUCGGAUAAAAAGCGACACGAUCGACAUGACGACGGAAAGCGGAUGGAAUAAACAUUCAGAUGUUUGCGUUUAAAAACAAACAAACAGACAAACAAAAAACAUGAAUCCGCGUUUUUAAGCUCAGCAUUUGUACAGCACAUGCGUUUCGUCACGACACACGACGACGGUACAGAGAAACACAAUGGUGAUACAUUCAGAUUAAAAAAAUAUUAAAAGGUCCAUGUUUUCCAGCACGGAGCGAUCAACAAGGAUUAACAUUACAGGGACAUUCCAGCGCUUUUCUUUAAACCGAACAAAAACACACCCCUUUUUUUUUUUUUUUUUUUUUUUUUUUCUCUCUCGCGUGUUUCAUCGUGUUUUAAAAUGAUUUUGUGAAAUUUGUGCUUGUAAAGUAAGAUACAGGACACUAGGACAUUAGCCUUGUAGCUUCUGUGCAAAACUAAAGGAGGUGGGUUUGGGGUAAAGAUUGGAUUUCUGUAUGAACCGGUCCUUUAUUCCGACUUUAUUCCUGUUAAACACAGCUACAUCACUGUCUGUGGCUGUAAGAUGGAAAUAACACAACCACAAAUAUUGGAAAAUACAGCAUUGUUAUAUUAUUUUAGAUAUUAUAAAAGUAAUUUUUUUUUUUUUAACAGGAGAAAAUUUCGCAAAAAGUCACAUAUUAUCAGUACAAGUCAUUAACAAUGAAAAAAUACGAAUAAGUGCAUUUCUUUCCACUUUAUUGCUUUUUCACCGUUGCUUUAUUUAUUAUUUGUAUUAAAAGUCGCUUCAAUCAAUCAAUAUUAUUACCAAUUAGUUCUCGAUCUUAUCUAUUAUAUCACGGGGCCAUUGAAUUCUCUAAUCCGAUCGGUCAGAAGCUGUUGAUUAAUUCCGAUUCAUUCCGUAGCAUAGAAUUAGUACAACUUGUUCUACUUUAGUAAAGAUAAAUUGUGCUUGUGGCAGAUUAUUGUGGUAGAAGAGGAAUAAAGAGCACACUUUGGGAUGUGCUGUUAUUGGAAAAUAAUCAACUUCAUGUGGUCUGCUAAGUGUCGAGCCACAUCUCACACCUCCUGUCCUUGGGCCUCAUUAACGAAUCUUUGUAGUAAAGUUGUGUGUAAAUGUUUGCGUAAGAAUUCGAAACGUACACAAUUUUCCAAAAGGCCGAUUUUCUUCAUCUCCGCGUACGUAUACGGGAUCGAUCACCUGUCGAGUGCAAAGGACGUUCCCGACACGGCUCGUUUGCAUUUAGUGACGCCCACAAAACUCCAUAAAUGGUAAAGUGCGCAGCCAGUUGGGAGCAUGAAAUGAACACUCAGUGUGAAGUGGAAGUUAUUUUGACUCACUUCCAUGCCAAUGAAAAUAUUAAAGGAUAAUAAUAAUAAUAAUAAUAAUAAUAAUAAUAAUAAGCGAGUGAUUAAACGUUCCAUCAGCUGAGGCGUUUGUUUACGGCUACGCACAGACAGACCGGCCUGUCCUCGGUUUAUAUGGCGCCGUUUCAUUUGUCGUAAUCGAAUGAAUAGUUUUAUUUCUCUUAAUUUACAGGUUUGUGUCGGCUCGCGUUCUUUCAUUUAUAAAAAAAAAUAUUUUUAAAUGAAUGCCAAUAAAAUGAAACGGCUGGUUUUCAUCGAAUAUUCUCGAUGGUACUUUUUAAUCCCCCGACCUAGUGAUCUAGCAUGAAGGUGUGUUAUUUAUUUAUUUAUUUAUUUAUUUAUUUUUAAUCGAGACUCCGAAGCAUUUCUGUAAGUCGCUCUGGAAAAGGGCGUCGGCUAGAUACUGUAAACGUAAUAAAAAUAAGCGAUUUAAACUCGACAGCGUGUCCCAGAUAUGAAAGUGCAGUGAUCCGUGCUAGCGAUAUGAUUUUCAAGUCGAGGUUUACGUUAGUUAGCGUACCUAUGUGCGAGUUCUCCCACGCUCGGGAGCACGAGUAGGAUACGAACGUGUGAAUACCAAAUUUCUUCCAUGCAGGUCUUCCAUGAAGCUUUCCUUAAUAAAGACACUAAAAUCAUUUUAAAACACUGAAACUUUUUUUUUCCCCUUCCUGCUGGGUGGGGGUGGGGGGUGGUGGGUGUAAUUUUCCAUUAAUUCACGGUUUUGUAAUGCACUUCCUGCUAAAGAACAUUGUCACAGAUUCAGAUUUCAAACAUCAAAGAGUCUUUAUUAUUUUUUUCCCCCACCCCUUAUUGUGUGCAAGUUUAAGAAGAGAACAAGCUUCACUUCUUAACGAUUUUUUUUUUUUUUUUACAUUUUUUUAUUUGCUCAUUUAGGGUCUGAAUGUCUGAGUGCACAACCAAGCGCUGCUUCGUCUUUUAUCGGUUAUUAGAAACGGGUCCGAUUUUCAAAACGUUCCAGGUUUGAGUACUACGAAGAACUAUAUUACAUUACAUUAUAUUACAUCGUGUUUAAGAACUCAGUAUUCGCUUGUGCACUCAGAAGCGUUGGACCGUUUUCAUGUUCGUCUGUCCGUUUUCUUUUUGUUUUGUUUUGUUUUUUUUCUUCCAGACAUCAGUUUGCUUUUGUACAGACAGUCAGAGGACAUUACUAAUUCUCCUGACAUCGUAACAUUCAUUCAUCUAAAAAAACAAACAACAAAAAAACAGUGCUAUAGGACUAAAACACAGAGUGUAAAAAGGCAGCUUGAUUUAAUAUGGCUAGAUUUCAUUAUUUUCACCAAAAACACAAAAUCUCUGCACCGAGAAUCGUUAUAUGACAUGCUGUAAUAAUCACCAAGGACGGUGUUUGUUUUUCAUGAACGCUAUCCCUGGGAGGUCCCUAGGGGGUCUGCCUAAGUAGCCCAUGUGUUCUGAGGACCUUUGCAAGGCAAUCCCAUAACCCAUAAUGGUGAUAUUAAUAUACGUUCAGCACGUGUCUAUUUUGACCUGUACACACUUUAGCCCCGUACUAAGACGACUUCUGAAUCAUGAAUCGGUGUUUAGACAAAGAUGUUUUCACGAGAUUCGCUAAUCAGGAUAGAAAUUCUUGUUUGUUUCAGCAUCAUUUAUUUGAAAAAAAAUCUGAAAAUUGUUGAUGAUUUCAUUACAGGCUCAUUCUUAAGUUCUGUGUAGUCUAUUCUCACACUAUACACUUGUGUUCUGGACUAGCUAAUACCUGGGUGUUUGACAAUAAAGUAAACGAACGCUAACAUUUAGUGCUAAACGCAAAUAGAUCAUUGAGCCUCCAGGGGAAUUUUUUUUAAAUUUAUUUAUUUAUUUAUUUUUUAAACGGCUGGCCAAAAAAUCUUCCCUCUUAAUUUUUUUUUUUUUUUUUUUUUUAAUCUGUUUUUGUUGCGAGAAUCUUGCUCAGUGUGUUGUCAGCCAUUUUAAAGCCCUCUAAUUUCUCUGCUCCCUUCUGCUAUAUACUGUUGAGCAUACUUCCUUUCCUGGCAGUUUUAGUACAUCAUCUGCAUAUUAACCUAUCACAGAGCUCACAAUAAAAAAAAAUUAAAAAAACAAAACAAAACUCCAAAUUUGAGACACAGCUAUUAUCUUUCAUUCACUUUUUUCUUUGUCUGGCUGCCAGCAGCCUUGGUUUAGAAACGAUUGUUACUAGGCAACAAAACCAAUUAAAAAAUAAUAAUAAUAAUAAUAAAAAAAACGAGGUGUGGCUUACUACAGUCUCAGUUCAAUAUACGAAAUAGCAUGAGCGUCAGUGGAUUAGGACCGAUACCGCUGAACAAAUUUGGAUUAGAUAGAGUUUUAAAAAUGAACCCUUCCAACUUUUUGUCACGUAAUAUUUUAUCACCAUUUGAUCACGCUCUGAUUAAAAACUCUCUGACUGAACUUUUCGUUCCAAGGCACAAUAAAAAAAAAAAAUCCCUUUUUCUGCGUUUUCCAGGAACCAGGCGAAGACGAUUCACCCCCCAUGUGUGCUGUGCUGCUGUUGUAGCGAUUUGGUCCUCCAAUAAAUAAUAAUAAAAUUAAAAAAAGCAAAAUACAUUGCAAUAUAAUCUGCAGCAUCUGUGUACAC
Long non-coding RNA from Ictalurus punctatus (channel catfish), 4218 nucleotides. Lineage: Eukaryota; Metazoa; Chordata; Actinopteri; Siluriformes; Ictaluridae. The record is from Ensembl.